Molecule: ribosomal RNA, 540 nt
Filed under: uncultured bacterium
Lineage: Bacteria
Description: bacterial SSU rRNA
Rfam family: Bacterial small subunit ribosomal RNA
Source: RNAcentral
GUCUGACGGAGCAACGCCGCGUGAGUGAUGAAGGUUUUCGGAUCGUAAAACUCUGUUGUUAGGGAAGAACAAGUACCGGAGUAACUGCCGGUACCUUGACGGUACCUAACCAGAAAGCCACGGCUAACUACGUGCCAGCAGCCGCGGUAAUACGUAGGUGGCAAGCGUUGUCCGGAAUUAUUGGGCGUAAAGCGCGCGCAGGCGGUUCCUUAAGUCUGAUGUGAAAGCCCACGGCUCAACCGUGGAGGGUCAUUGGAAACUGGGGAACUUGAGUGCAGAAGAGAAGAGCGGAAUUCCACGUGUAGCGGUGAAAUGCGUAGAGAUGUGGAGGAACACCAGUGGCGAAGGCGACUCUUUGGUCUGUAACUGACGCUGAGGCGCGAAAGCGUGGGGAGCAAACAGGAUUAGAUACCCUGGUAGUCCACGCCGUAAACGAUGAGUGCUAAGUGUUAGAGGGUUUCCGCCCUUUAGUGCUGCAGCAAACGCAUUAAGCACUCCGCCUGGGGAGUACGGCCGCAAGGCUGAAACUCAAAGGAAUUG